ACCGGGCUGGCUUAGUUGGAAGAGCACACGACUCUUGAUCUUGAGGUCAUGAGUUUGAGCCCCAUGUUGGGUA
RNAcentral lists this transfer RNA (73 nucleotides) under Canis lupus familiaris (dog). It matches the Rfam family "tRNA". Rfam says of the family: Transfer RNA (tRNA) molecules are approximately 80 nucleotides in length. Their secondary structure includes four short double-helical elements and three loops (D, anti-codon, and T loops). The record is from Rfam by way of RNAcentral. RNAcentral also lists the same sequence under 1 other name. Lineage: Eukaryota; Metazoa; Chordata; Mammalia; Carnivora; Canidae.